UUUUUCCCCAACCGCUCUAAUCUGCCCCAAAUGCUUCCUUAUAUGAAGCCAAAUUUGUCUCUCCUUAACCUCUACCCUCUGCUCUGGUCUUAGUUCAGCCUCCGCCUCUGGGGCCUUAGUAAACAAGUCCAAUCACCUUUCCACGAGACCCGUUAUCUAAUUGUAGGUGGGAUUAAUAUACUUCUCUGCCCAAACAGCUCCAGCCCUUUAAACUGCCUUUUAUUGAUUGGUAACAUCGGGAACUAUGGACCAAUUCACUUCUAGGCCAGGAUGCCAGGUAUUUGAAAUCCAUUUAGCUGCAGCAACCAACUUGCCUUGGGUGAAGAAGGUCUCACAGAUGUCUACUGAUUUCUCUGGAUCCCACCCAGAAUGCCACAUGACGUUCAGAAGUCUUGUCUCCUUAGGCUCCUCCAGACUGACAAUUUCUCAAACUUUGUUUUUGAUGACCUUGACGAUUUUGAGGUGGUAUGAUAAUUUGUGAAGUGUUUCUCAUGCUUAGCCUGGAGUUACAAGAUAGGAGAAAAAGACCAAAGAUGUGAAGUGCCAUUCUCAUAACAUCAUGUCAAGGGUAAUGCUAUUUAUAUGAAUUAUCAUCGAUGAUGUUAACCUUGAUGUCCUGGCUGAGGUCGUUUAUUAGGUUUUUUCUCUACCAAGUUACUCCCCGCCCCGUACCUUUCCUGACUGUGUUUUUGGGAAGGAAGUCACUAUGUGCAGCUCACACGUAAGGUAUGGGAAGUUACACUCCAACAUCCUUUGGCAGGGUAGUAUCUAUUCAUACAUAAAUAACUUGAAAUUUUUCUGUAUGGGAAAUUUUCUACCUCAUUAAUUUAUUUAUUUAGUCAUUUGCUUGCCUCAGUAAUGACUCAUGAAUGUUUAUGCUUUGGGUUGUAUUCCAAAUGUAGUAUAAUAUUUAUUUAUUUUAUUGUUCAGUCAGUUGCCCUAGCUUUGAUAUUUGAGAGGUCUUUUAAUUGGCUCUGUGUCUCCUCAAUAUACCCCCUUAUUAGAUUUUUCUUCAUUAUUUUCUGGCACUACAGAUGCUUCAGGCUCAUUCAUCUUGCAUAUUACCUGACCCUGCCCUUGAAGCAGCCAAUUUUCCAAGGAGCCCUGAUUCCCUUCCCUGGAGAAUGGUUGAACAUGCUCUUUGCUACUGGAGUAUCUUUUGUUUCUAGGCCCUCUCAGUGGACAGAUUUAAGAAAUAACCCACGUAUACGCACAUAUAUAUAUAUACACACAAAAUUACUUCUUUAUCUAUUUGUGUCUACAUUAAGGUAAAUAUGAGUUCACACUAAUAUUUCCCACUCUAAUCCAGUACCACAUGGUUUCUUCUAGCCUGCUAAUAUUUUAUUAGCUAUUCAUUCAUUCACUUAUUGAUUCAUUCAGCAAAUUUUGUUGAGUGUCUGUUAUAUGCCAGGCCCUGUGCUCAGCACUAAGGAUUAGAGAGCCUGGUGGAUACUAUCCCUACUCUCAUGUAGCUUAGAAUCCAUUUACACGUUACAUUUUUACUUUAGUUCUUUGGUACUACCAAGGAAUGACGUCGAUCACAAUAGCCUAUUUCCAUAUCCCUCUGCGUUUUCCCACCAUAGUCCAUUCUCCCAUUUCCAAGACUGUGCUACCUUCUAUUGAUCAUCUGUUUUCCUCUCUACCCUCAUUUCUCCUCUGUCAGCUCUUUGCCCUGUGGGAUUUUCACCUUUCAUUAAAACACUGCAGCAGAAGAGUGGCUUAGAUGCUAAAUAAGAGUAUUACACCCCCUAUUUGUGUUGCACAUUUGAAAGCUCUUUCACAUCUCAUUUGUGAGUAUACAAUUAUGUAAAGAAUGAUAGGGUAUUACCAAGGUGCUUUGUUUGGGGUGGCAUCUUAUGAUUGCCGCUCACAUAUAAAUUCGUAUGGGAUUUGUCAUCACCUACUGCUAUCUGGAAUUGGAGGCCCUGUGUUAGUUUCUUAGGAAGACAAUCUCUACUGAUGCAAAACUGUACGGUACCUCUGAUUUUAAUGCUUUUCUUUUCUGUUUACUGAAAAUAUUUUCAUGCUUUUCAUGCUUUAAUGAUUUUAAUGCUUUUCUUUGCUGUUCAUUGAAAAUCCAUCAUUAUAUCUCCUUCACUCUGAAGAUCGUUAUAUUUACCUGCCUUCUUUUUUCUUGAGUAAACGUUCUAGAAAUUUAUCAAUUUUAGUAGUCUUUCUAAUAACAACUUUGGGCUUGUUUGAUCCUCUCUAUUGUGUGUUUGUUUUCUGUUUCAUUAUGUUUUGCCCUUUUUUAUUUCCUUACUUUUAUUUUCUAUAUUCUGUUCUCAAAUUUAUAAAGUUGAAUGCUUAGCACAUUGAUUUUAGCCUUUUUAAAUUUGGUAAUAUAAUAAUUUAAGCCCUCAUAUUUCCCUCUAAUUGCUACUUUGGCUUCACAUUACAAGCAUUAAUAUACAGAGCAUGUAUUAUUGUUUAGUGCUUUACAAUUUCUAAUUUUCACUGUAAUUUAUUUUUUGACCCAUGAAUUAUUAGCAUGUUGAUUUUGUUUUCAAAUGUGUGUGUUUCCCCAAGUUAUAUAUUUAAUUUUGAUUUCUAUUUAAUUGUAUUAUGAUUAGUUUUUUAAAAUGAUGUUCUUUGAAUUCUUUAUCUAGGUCUAAUCUGCUGUUUAACAUUUCAUUGUAUUUUAAUUAUUUGUUUUAAAAAUUUCAGCUCUUGUACAUCUAUAUGAUUCACUUCUUUCAAGUCUACCUGGUACUUUGUUUAGAGAGUAUCUUACUCCUUGAUCCACUUAAUGCUCUCUUUUAUUUCUUUUGACAUUUUAAGCAUACUUACUCUAUAUUCUUAAUUGAUAAUUCUACCGUUAGAAGCAUUAGGUGUGUUUGAAUAUAUCUUUGUUGUUUCUACUGUUAUUCAAGGACUGAUGUCUCCUUGUGCAUUUUAUUAUUAUUUUCUAUAAGUUAAUAUUAAUGAAAUAUUUGAGGCCUGGAUUAAAGGUGUCUUUCUCUCAUAAAUAUGUGUAUGCUAAUUUUUGAUCUGAAGUUUUAUGGACCACUUACUACAAACCUGUGUGAAGGUGGGCUUGAAAUCUCGGGAAACAUUUAUUUUUCACUCUGCUCCGGAGCUGGGACAAGCACAUUUCUUUGCUGUCAUUGUCUGCGGGGUGGGAUUUAUGUAUGUGUGUAUCUCAGUUUUCCAUUUUACUAAGGGUAUACUCCUUUAGGUCGCAGCUCUGUGUGGGAGCCUGCUAUAGAUCACCUAUGUGUAGAGGCUAUGGCCAUUGUCUCUAGUCCCUCUACUUUCCUCAGGGUUGUCAGAAUGGAAGCUCAUGGUUAUUUUGAUGCUUCCUUACCUUUCUGUUUUCCUGCUUUCACUUUGUCUUUUGGCCUUUGAUGAAUUCCCUUCCGUACUUAUCAGCUCAAUUAUAUAUUUUUUAAAAUUAUUUUAUUCAGAAUCAUAACAUAUUUUGUAAUAAGAACGUUGUUCAUUGUAUUGAGUGUAUCAUGCUGUCAGAAACAUAAAUUUUAUAAUCUUUCUUCAAAUUAUCUAUCCUUGACAAGGCAGCUUUAAAAAUGAAACAAUAAAACUAUGAAACAGAAUGUAACUGCUUUCCUUUUAAAUUAAUUAUCCCCACAUUAAAGAAUUUCUAUGACCAACUGGUGAAAGUCUGAUAAUUUUGCUUCAAUAUUUGCAGCCUUACGUGUAUUUAU
Non-coding RNA from Macaca mulatta (Rhesus monkey), 3665 nucleotides. Lineage: Eukaryota; Metazoa; Chordata; Mammalia; Primates; Cercopithecidae. The record is from RefSeq and is a predicted model, not a curated record.